CCUACGGGGCGCAGCAGUCGAGAAUCAUUCACAAUGGGGAAAACCCUGAUGGUGCGACGCCGCGUGGGGGAAUGAAGGUCUUCGGAUUGUAAACCCCUGUCAUGUGGGAGCAAAUUAAAAAGAUAGUACCACAAGAGGAAGAGACGGCUAACUCUGUGCCAGCAGCCGCGGUAAUACAGAGGUCUCAAGCGUUGUUCGGAAUCACGGGGCGUAAAGCGUGCGUAGGCUGUUUCGUAAGUCGUGUGUGAAAGGCGCGGGCCCGACCCGCGGGCGGUGCAUGAUACUGCGAGACUAGAGUAAUGGAGGGGGGACCGGAAUUCUCGGUGUAGCAGUGGAGUGCGUAGAUAUCGAGAGGAACACUCGUGGCGAAGGCGGGUUCCGGGACAUUAACUGGCGCUGAGGCACGAAGGCCAGGGGAGCGAAAGGGAUUAGAUACCCUUGUAGUC
RNAcentral lists this ribosomal RNA (446 nucleotides) under uncultured bacterium. RNAcentral describes it as "partial 16S ribosomal RNA". It matches the Rfam family "Bacterial small subunit ribosomal RNA", at positions 338 to 795 of the family's 1533-position model. The record is from RNAcentral.